Long non-coding RNA from Erigeron canadensis, 1052 nucleotides. RefSeq lists it as uncharacterized. Lineage: Eukaryota; Viridiplantae; Streptophyta; Magnoliopsida; Asterales; Asteraceae. The transcript is spliced from 2 exons. The record is from RefSeq and is a predicted model, not a curated record.
AGAGGUUUUUCAUGGUUUCAUCUUUCCCAUUCUUUCUUUCUAAUCGGUCCCUUUCUUCCCUCAAAUUAAUUUAUGGUUGCCCAUUAAACUCUUUCUGUAAUCAUUGUCACCGAAAAGAAAAACCCCAAAUCUCUUUCUUCUUUAUGCGAUUAGGUCAGAUUUCAAAGGCCUCUUUCAAACGCCGCUUCGUUCUUUCGUCUUGCGGUUAAUUCCCAAAAGCGGAUUUGCUUGUCAAUCGAUGUUCUUCCCUGGACCGAUUAACGUGCUCUGAUGCCAAUUGUUGAAAUUAAUCUUGCAAUAAAUCACAGACACACACGCACACCCUUUUGUGUACAUACGAUACAUAUAUACGGUUUUCUAACGGGUGUCUCUAAGAGUCAUGUCGGUUCGUUGAAUGGGUGCAGUUUGAUCAAAUAAUCGCACUAUGGCUCAACCGGAGGUAUGAGUGUGGUUAUGGGUGUCUGUCUGCGAUUCUCUUACGGUGAGAGGGUUGGAGACCGCUUUAGCCUAUAAUUUAUUGAUUCUAAGCUGAUUCGUCGGGCUUAGAGUUUGUAUUGGGGUCGAAUGGUUUUCGGAUGUUUUGCAGGGUUUUUUGUAUAUGGAAUGUAUUGUUGAUCAUGAAUGUGCCGUAUGGCUCAUCCUCUAUUUAUAUAGAGGGUAAAUGACUUGUAGAGGAGGGUAAGAGAAUUAGGGUGAAUCUCGUCCUCCUUUGUAAAUAUCUUGGUUCCUUCUUGAGGAGAUUUAUAGUAAUCUUGUUACCAAAUCGUAUCCGAGUGUAUCGGAGCUUAAUAGGAUAAUUAUGGAAAAGAUCUUAUCCGCUCCUUCUUGUAUAUUUCCUCGGAGCUGAGUAAUUGUUACUUUCGGAGCUCCGGGGUAAUGAGCUCUGUUAUGGGUAUAAGUGUUUUUACUUGUACGAAGGUGACUUCGUAUUCUGAUUCUGCUUCGGGUACGGAGCUAGAGCUCCGUAUGGAUAUAUCAUUAGGUGCCAAGACAGUUACAUAAUUGUAUGCCCUUUUACAUUUGCAUAGACAACCCCUUAUAUUUGACACAUA